Molecule: long non-coding RNA, 368 nt
Organism: Nothoprocta perdicaria
Lineage: Eukaryota; Metazoa; Chordata; Aves; Tinamiformes; Tinamidae
Exons: 2
Source: RefSeq, a predicted model, not a curated record
GCAAGCGUGAGCUCGUUCACUCUGGAACCUAAUGGCGGUUGGGGGUCCAGGGGACAGAGCUUGAGCACGUUCACCCUGGAACCAAAUGGUGAUGGGACUUGCGGAUGAGUGAGCGAGUCCGUUCACUCUGAAGCCUAAUGAUGGUGGCAUUUCCAGGAGAACGAGCAGGAACCUGUUAACUCUGAAGCCUAACGGCGGCAGCGUUGCCAGUGAGGACUGGAUCCCUGGAUGGAUGCCCGUCCGGAUGGAUCCCGAUCCCUACGGAUCCGGGCUUGACUUGUGCCUGCCUGGAAGCACCGUGGUCUGGAUGCAUCCCAAUCCGAUGGACACCGGCCUGGGCGGAUCCGGCUCCAGCUGGCUCCGGGUCU